RNAcentral lists this ribosomal RNA (250 nucleotides) under uncultured bacterium. Its description in RNAcentral is "partial 16S ribosomal RNA". It matches the Rfam family "Bacterial small subunit ribosomal RNA", at positions 524 to 773 of the family's 1533-position model. The record is from RNAcentral. RNAcentral also lists the same sequence under 1 other name.
CACGGGGGUUGCAAGCGUUGUCCGGAAUUACUAGGCGUAAAGGGCAGGUAGGCGGAUCCAUAAGUUUGAUGUUAAAGGCAGCGGCUCACCCGCUGUAGGGCAUUAGAUACUGUGGAUCUGGAAUACGGUUGGGGAAGACAGAAUUCCUGGUGUAGCGGUGGAAUGCGCAGAGAUCAGGAGGAAUACCAAAGGCGAAGGCAGUCUUCUAAGCCGUUAUUGACGCUAAACUGCGAAGGUGUGGGUAUCAAAC